This 188-nucleotide non-coding RNA is filed under the name Halalkalibacter akibai. RNAcentral describes it as "Bacillus akibai Lysine sequence". It matches the Rfam family "Lysine riboswitch aptamer". Rfam says of the family: Riboswitches are metabolite binding domains within certain messenger RNAs that serve as precision sensors for their corresponding targets. Allosteric rearrangement of mRNA structure is mediated by ligand binding, and this results in modulation of gene expression. The record is from RNAcentral. RNAcentral also lists the same sequence under 1 other name. Lineage: Bacteria; Bacillati; Bacillota; Bacilli; Caryophanales; Bacillaceae.
AGUGAUGGUAGAGGAGCGAAAACCAUAAGUACACUUACUGAGGUGAAUGAGAGCCAGUGAAGUAAGCAGAAAGGGGAAUUCGCCGAAGUGCAAGGGUCACUCAUAUCCCUUGUGCUGGACCUAUGCUGAAUAAGUAUAGGGCUGUCACAUACCUACACCCAAGGGGUAUGUGGAGAACUAUCUCACGU